AGCUCACUCGCCAUUUAAAAAGUCGAUAGAUAGUCGAAGUUCAAAGGUUAGUCAGAGUUUUAAUCGCUACGAGGCCACGCCUAAGUUCGCAUCGUACACUGCACGGCUCGCUGCAGCCGCUGAAUUUCAGACAAUCCCAAAGCUGCGAAGUAACGAUGUUCCUAAACAUGCAUCGUCAAAGUAACAUUACCAACUUCAAACUCACGAAACUUCAGGGUACCACAGCGCUUUAUUUCCUCACCUGCGAUGCUAAAGCGAGGCGAAUAAAACGUCAGUAUGCAACAGCAGGGUAAACAAUUCGGGAUGUCGGCAGCGACUCGCGAGGCUCGAACGCGCUACUUGGGUCGUUCACUCGACACUGGACUCUCCUCUCACCUCCUUCCUAGCUCGGUUCUUCGUGUCUUCGCC
Molecule: long non-coding RNA, 408 nt
Organism: Neodiprion virginianus
Lineage: Eukaryota; Metazoa; Arthropoda; Insecta; Hymenoptera; Diprionidae
Exons: 3
Source: RefSeq, a predicted model, not a curated record